Molecule: ribosomal RNA, 377 nt
Filed under: uncultured eukaryote
Lineage: Eukaryota
Description: SSU rRNA
Rfam family: Eukaryotic small subunit ribosomal RNA
Source: RNAcentral
CAAUAGCGUAUAUUAAAGUUGUUGCAGUUAAAAGCUCGUAGUUGGAUUUCGGAGUGGGCCAGUUGGUCCGCCGCAAGGUGUGUUACUGACUGGUUUGCUCUUCUUCGCAAAGACUGCGUGUGCCCUUAAAUGAGUGUGCGUAGGAUUUACGACGUUUACUUUGAAAAAUUAGAGUGUUCAAAGCAGGCUAUUGCUUGAAUACAUGAGCAUGGAAUAAUGGAAUAGGACUUUGGUCCCAUUUUGUUGGUUUCUAGGGCCGAAGUAAUGAUUAAGAGGGACAAUUGGGGGCAGUCCGUCAGUUUCGUUUGUCAGUAGGUGGAAAGUUUCAUUGGGAUUUACGAAAUGACGAACAACUGCGAAAGCACUUGCCAAAGAGU